ACGGAGGGUCCAAGCGUUAUCCGGAUUUAUUGGGUUUAAAGGGUGCGCAGGCGGAUUUGUAAGUCAGUGGUGAAAUCCCCCGGCUCAACCGGGGAACUGCCAUUGAUACUGCUAAUCUAGAGUACAGUUGAAGUAGGCGGAAUGUAGCAUGUAGCGGUGAAAUGCAUAGAGAUGCUACAGAACACCGAUUGCGAAGGCAGCUUACUAAGCUGUAACUGACGCUCAGGCACGAAAGCGUGGGGAGCAAACAGG
This 252-nucleotide ribosomal RNA is filed under the name uncultured bacterium. RNAcentral describes it as "partial 16S ribosomal RNA". It matches the Rfam family "Bacterial small subunit ribosomal RNA", at positions 525 to 776 of the family's 1533-position model. The record is from RNAcentral.